UGCAACUUAGUUUAUCUAGAACAAUCAACUUGCACUUGAUAAGAGAGGUGUCUCAGUAGCGGCU
This 64-nucleotide transfer RNA is filed under the name Eophila gestroi. RNAcentral describes it as "tRNA-Ala". Lineage: Eukaryota; Metazoa; Annelida; Clitellata; Crassiclitellata; Lumbricidae. The record is from RNAcentral.